UGCACCCAUAGCUCAGCUGGAUAGAGCGCUACCCUCCGAAGGUAGAGGCCUCAGGUUCGAAUCCUGAUGGGUGCGCCAU
Molecule: transfer RNA, 79 nt
Filed under: Afipia carboxidovorans OM5
Lineage: Bacteria; Pseudomonadati; Pseudomonadota; Alphaproteobacteria; Hyphomicrobiales; Nitrobacteraceae
Description: Oligotropha carboxidovorans OM5 tRNA-Arg
Rfam family: tRNA
About the family: Transfer RNA (tRNA) molecules are approximately 80 nucleotides in length. Their secondary structure includes four short double-helical elements and three loops (D, anti-codon, and T loops).
Source: RNAcentral